Molecule: long non-coding RNA, 635 nt
Filed under: Mytilus galloprovincialis (Mediterranean mussel)
Lineage: Eukaryota; Metazoa; Mollusca; Bivalvia; Mytilida; Mytilidae
Source: RNAcentral
UGCUGGAUUAAAUAUCAUCUAACAAAUGCUUGUUUCUAAUGUCACUGUACUUGUGUUUAUUUUAUAGUAACCAAAAUACUAUGACACAAUUUGUACAUUAUAAUUUCAAUGGGAGAUGUUUAAUAACCAGAUUAAUAAAACAGCUUGUGCGUGUGUAUUGUAAUGUUCAUGAUGUGUGAAGCAGAAAACGAAAUGUAUGUUCACUUUCCAAUAUUUGAACUAGAAAUACCCCUUUGAACUUCAAUUACUUAAUACAAUAACAGAGAAUUGUUUACAAACAUACAAUCAAGCAUGUGACUAUAUAUUCUUACUAAAACUUUUCUGUCUUGACUUUAUCAUCUUAAAGGCGCUUUUCCCUGGAUCCAACCUAAUCGUAUUUUUUAAUCCGUCGAGGGUGGAGAGGAGGGGACAAGAUAUAAUCCUUGGCUAGCGACGAUAACAUAAAAAUGCCUUUAAUGCAAUCGAACAAUUUCCUGAUUUAAUCAAUACAGUUUAACUUAAUAACUUCAACUCAGGAAACUAAGUUUAACUUAUGAAAAGCAAUUCCAUAACCAGGCUUAUCUGUAGUCUUUCACAUAAUUCUUAUUUUUGCAAAUUAUACAUUAGUUCAGAACUUGCUGUCAAUAAAAAAAAAU